GAUGAACGCUGGCGGCGUGCCUAAUACAUGCAAGUCGAGCGGUAAGGUUCUCACUCUGUAUUUAACGAGUUUGAAUAUAGUGUGAGAAUACACGAGCGGCGGACGGCUGAGUAACACGUA
Molecule: ribosomal RNA, 120 nt
Filed under: uncultured bacterium
Lineage: Bacteria
Description: partial 16S ribosomal RNA
Source: RNAcentral